GGUUCCCGCGCGGCGCUCCAAAGCUCGGGGAGUGGUGGUCUCCCUUUCCUGGAGUCAUUUGUGGGAGUUAGGGUCUUAUCCUGAUCUUUCCUCGUCCCCCGCUCCCCCGUCCUCCGAGGUGGCAGCUGCGUAGGUGAACGUUCCCCCUGUCCCCUUCCUUCUCCUUCCUAACCCGAGUACGCUUGCUCGCGGCCACAGUGGCUGCCUGCCCCAGGAGCGGGGAGUCCCUGCCUUUGGGGUAGGGAAAUGACUGAAAUGUGGGACCUGCGGGCUCCUCGGGCUGACUUGGACCUCACUGCAGCUCUGGAGGUGGACCUCGUCCUGGGACCCUAGAAGCCCAUUUCCGCACUCGGGCUAGGCCUUCGGAGCCGCGGCAGCAUAGUGGGAGGAGUCGGGCUCAGCUCCCCCCCACCACAACCGGGAUUAUUUUUAUCGGUUGAGUCAUCGCACUACCUUUCAUCCUUGUGGCUUUGGGCAAGUCCCCGCCCUCCGAGCCUCACUUUGCUUAUCUGUGAAUGGAAAUAACAGUGCCUACCCCAUGGGCUAUCGGGAGGAUCAGUUGUGAGGGAAUGCAGUGUGGGGUGUCUGGCCGGCAGAAUUCCACAAAUGAAGUCUGGAACGUUUUUUCUUAGAGUUCCAGAAUUGAGACUGAAGUGUACCCAGAGACACAAAGAAAUACAGAAGUCCAGAAUGAUCAAAUGAGAUCACUACCCAAUGAAAUGAUGGGCCGAGGAGCCAGAAGUUGUCCUACUACCUGCUUUCCAGGUCCAGAUUCCACGAGAGCCUUCUGGGCUCCCACCAGAGACCCUCAGUGAAGACUCUGUUGAAGACUUUAAGACCAUGCUAGAAAGCCUCCCGGCAGAGGUUCAGGAAGUUCUGCUAUGAGGAUGCAGCUGGCCCCAGGGAUGUCCUCAGGCAUCUCUAGGACCUUGCUGGACGGUGGUGGCUG
This 949-nucleotide long non-coding RNA is filed under the name Homo sapiens (human). RNAcentral describes it as "non-protein coding lnc-CELA3A-5:26". The record is from RNAcentral. Lineage: Eukaryota; Metazoa; Chordata; Mammalia; Primates; Hominidae.